UCUAGAGUGGCACUGAUCUUCGGAUCGCCCACCAAGCGUUCACACUUAUCGACUGUAAUUAAGAAGAACAGCAUUUGGGGCUGUAGCUCAGCUGGUUAGAGCACCGUGUUGAUAACGCGGGGGUCGUUGGUUCGAGUCCAACCAGCCCUACCAGUUUCUGCCUGUAGUAAAUCUCAGGGGGAUUAGCUCAGCUGGGAGAGCACCUGCUUUGCAAGCAGGGGGUCGUCGGUUCGAUCCCGUCAUCCUCCACCAAGAGUUCAGAUGUAAACGAAGCCGUUUAGAUUUGAUCUUUUAGAGAUCAAGUGCUGUCUGUUCUUUAACAAUCUGGAAGAAGUAAGUAAAUUUUUAUUGAUCGCUUUAGUGUAAAAGCUAAAGCGAUGGGUAAUGAUUGUAUGUAUCAACAAACGCAACAACGUAGUACUUCUUAUUCCUAUAAACGCUCCUUGUAGACGCGCGUAGCGUCGCAGGGGCUAACGUUAUAGG
Molecule: transfer RNA, 483 nt
Filed under: uncultured bacterium NAZ6
Lineage: Bacteria; Pseudomonadati; Pseudomonadota; Betaproteobacteria
Description: 16S-23S intergenic spacer region
Rfam family: tRNA (bases 77-150)
Source: RNAcentral